RNAcentral lists this long non-coding RNA (1108 nucleotides) under Sus scrofa (pig). RNAcentral describes it as "lncRNA (ENSSSCG00040020913.1)". The record is from RNAcentral. Lineage: Eukaryota; Metazoa; Chordata; Mammalia; Artiodactyla; Suidae.
AUGUGCGACCGCAGCUUUCAACGGCCUCCCAGGUGCACGGGCCCCUCACCCCGAUACCCAGGACCCAGAGAGGAUCGGCUGGAAGUGAUGGACACGAAACCACCGCCCCCCGCCCCGGAUAAAGUGGCAGGAGCAGCGACACGGAUCUCUACAAGCUCCCUCUUCCCUCUGCACCCGAGCCGCUUCAGCCUCAGCAGGACACGCAUUCGAAGGAACCUGUCUACAUCCAUGAAAGGUGAAACACGGUUCAGUUGAUUAGGAUGCCAUGCUUUGUCGUAGGGGCGAAGGCUGCUGAUUCAAAGCCUGCUGUCUUGCCUUAAAUAGCAGGGUGGAUGAUUUCAGGGAGUGGGAUAUAAUUGGGUGGUGUUAGUGGCCUGACUGUAAGUCACACCCCUGCCCAUUCUGCAGCUCAGUGUGCUGCGAGGGAGAGGAGUAAGGAAAUCGGGCUGGCAAGUUGCCCAGGGCUCUGCAGACCAGGGUUCUACUGUGGGGGGCAGAGGAAGGACUGAGCGUUGCUGUUUGAGCAUUUGGCCACCAGAUGGCAGCAGAGCUGCUCCCCCUGCAGCUCCUGGAUUCGUCUUCAGGCUCAGAGGCAAGGUUGGAGAUGGGUGUUUGGCACCCGGAGAGGUGCCCAGAGCCUUCCGUUUUGGUACAUGGUGCUUCUGACCCUAUGAGCAAGUAUGCCUCCUAUGAGAGAGGGGAAAUAAUUCUUUGAUCAUAUCUGUGGUUCAAUUCCUACAUGGACAGUUGGCCCAAUGGCUGGUGAGUGGACAGGCUGUCUCAGGUCUGAUUCCCCUUUGUUUGGAGGCCCAACUCUGGACAUAGAAAUAUGUGGAUUAUUUUUUGGCCAUACAGUUUGCUAGAAUCAGGUCUGUUCCAAAUGGAGUUGCGUUCUAGAAAGCUGGCCUUCUGGUUAUGAAUGAACUGUGUUAAACUGGGCGUUUUGGGGGGACAUGAUAAGCUCAUAACUGUGCUCUCUCUCUCCAUGGGUUUCUUCAAGCUUUUUCUUCCCUCCCACCUGAGCCUCUUUCUGUGCUGCCAGAACCUGUUGCAAGGAAGAUACUUCAAACAGGUAACGUGAAUAAAGGCUGGGUGGUGCUUGCUUUCA